GCAGACCUUAAAAUAUUUUUGACUCUUGGGCUGGGAUUACAGGCGUGAGCCACCGCACCCGGCCUAAUGAGGCAUUAUUGCUUAAAAAUUCACAUCAAGCUGGGCAUGGUGUUGUGCACCUUUAGUCCCAGCUGCUUGGGAGGCUUAGAGGCAGCAGGAUCGCUUGAAGCCAGAAGUUCAAGGCUACAGUAUGCUAUGAUCAUUUCUGUGAAUGGCCACUGCACUUCAGCCUGAGUAACGUAGCAAGACGCUGUCUCCAACAGAAAAUUGACAUCUGAAGCCCUGACUACAGGGGGACUAUACUGGUUUAUGUGAAGUGUGGGGAGAGAGCAGGAUUGUGCUUCUUUGUACACAUUUGCUUCUCCCAGGAUAGUGUCAUAGUGGCUAGGAAGGUGAUGUGUGUGUCAGAUACAAUGAUAGUGAAAAGAAGGGAUUGGAAUUUUCAUAUCUGUGCCAGUCUAAAUGAGCAUUACCUUGUCUGAAUUGUCUAAGUGGUAAGCUUCAUGAUUUGAAACAGUUUUCACUUUGAAAAACUGCUUCCGUGGAUUAAAAGUUGUCACCACUAAAGUGGGCUGUGGUGGAGUCGAUGCUGAUCCUCACUUAGGGCAGUGGCCUCCAAGGGGAAGAGGGCACACAGGAUGGCUGGGUGGGGGUGGGAAGAAAAGAUUAGGCCUUUGAUUUAUAUUCAUUUUGAG
This 695-nucleotide long non-coding RNA is filed under the name Pan troglodytes (chimpanzee). RNAcentral's name for it is "long non-coding RNA NONPTRT000972". Lineage: Eukaryota; Metazoa; Chordata; Mammalia; Primates; Hominidae. The record is from RNAcentral.